AGAAAGUUCCUUUCUUAAGAGAUGAUGGAGCAACUUCAGAAGGUUUAGAAUAGAAAAUGCCAUAUAUUCCAUUUCUGCUUACGCCAUAGAUCAUUGAAGCCAUUAAGCUUCUGUCUACGCUUUUAGCCAGGAAUCUUUGAAAAGACUUUUCAUACUUAGAUUCAUUUCUACAAUCAGAGGCAUCACAGGCAACAAUUUCUUCUAACUUAGCAAUCUGGUUCUUAAGCACAGAGUUAGAAUUGAUCAAGGCAUGAUUAUCAUUUUUCAAAUCAGAAAUAAUUUUCUCAUGUUCAGAAGGAGUCUUGGAAACAGCAGAUAAGUUCUUUUUCAGCUUCUUAUGCUUAGACAAUAAGGAGUUAUACUUAUCCAUAAUAUCAGACAAUGCAUGUUUCAGUUCAGAGGUAGAGAAAGAUGCGAAUACCUCAUUUUCAUCGUCUGAGUUAGGAUUUCCUUCUGUUUCUGAGUCAGAGUCAACAACUCCCUUUGACUCUGCUUCCUUGUCUUUGACAAUAGCCAUGAGUCCUUGAACUUCACCAUCAGAGUCAACAUCCUCUGACUCUGAUUCAUCAAAAGUCACCAUCAGACUUUUCUUUGGUUUGAAAUGCUUCUUUGACUUUUUGUCCUUUGAUGAGCCUUUGUAUUUGCUCUGCCUGUGCUUCCAGAUGCAGUUGAGCUUUCUGGAUAUCAGAGUCAGCUCAUUUUCAUCAGAAUAUUCUGAUGCUUCUUCAGAUUCUUCUGCUUCUGCUUGGAGAGCCUUAGCCUUUUCAGAUUUGGAUUUCCAGGCUAUAGACUUCUUCUUCUGAUCCUGAUGUUCAGCACGCUUUAGUUCAUGACACUUUAGUAUGCUUAUGAGUUCUUCCAAACUCAUCUGCUCAACAUUUCUAGUUAGCUCCAAGGAAGUUAUCAAAGGCAUCCAGCUUUCAGGAAGACCUCUAAGGAUCCUCAUGACAUGAUCAGCAGCGGUGUAGCUUUUGUUGAGGGGUCUUAUUCCAGCAAUAAUCAACUGGAAUCUGGAAAACAUAUCCUCAAUGGAUUCAUUAGGUUCCAUUUGGAAGGAUUCAUACUGCUUGAUCAAAGACAACGCCUUUGUCUCUUUCACCUUUUUGUUUCCUUCAUGUGUCGUCUUUAAGGAAUCAAUGAUACACUUAGCGGAAUCACGAUCAGUAAUUUUCUCAUAUUCUUCAUAUGAAAUGGCACUUUGCAGAAUAGCUCUUGAUCUGUGAUGAUCUCUGAACUCCUUCUUUUGAUCUUCACUCAUCUUCUCCCUUGGGAUUUUUACACCAUGUUCAUCAACAGGAGGGGUGUAGCCAUCAACAACAAAAUCCCAGAGAUCAGGAUCAAAGCCAAGAAAGAAGCUUUUGAUUCUGUCUUUCCAGAAAUCAAAUCUCUGACCAUCAAAGAUAGGUGGUCUUGCACAGUAUUGAUAUUUGCUUGUAGUAGUGGUGGAAUCCAUGAGUUUUUCACACUGGCCCGGAUCUACUGAACACUGUUAAGUGUGGUAAUCAGAACUUGCGCUCUGAUACCAAUUGAAGGUGUGAAAAACGACUAGAAGGGGGGGUUGAAUAGCGUUUUCAAUAUAAAAACUUUCCCCUUAAGAUUUAAAGUAAAUCUUUUCGGUUUCUCUAAGAUAGAUGGUGCAGCGGAUAAAGAUAAAGAGAAGAGAGAAGCACACAAGUAUUUUAUCCUGGUUCACUUGAUAAAUCCCUCAAGCUAAUCCAGUCCACCCGUUAAGGUGAUUUCUUCCUUCUUAGAAUGAAGGCAAUCCACUAAUCAGAUAAUUGUUACAACUGCACUUGAAACAUACAAGUGACUAACAAUACACUGACUUAGCUCACACUAAGAUUCACUCUCUUAGUCUUCUCUAGGAUCCGAUCAACCUUGAUCUCCUAAAGGAAUCACCACUAAGAUUCACUCUCUUAGUCUUCUUAAGGAUACUGACCUACCCGGUCCCUUAAGGAAAAUCAAACAACUGUUUGAGGUUGGUGUUUACAAAGGUUUGCUUCUCAAUAAGCUGAGUGUAAACUAAAUAAGAACAGAUGAAGAAAGUAGAGGCUUGAAUCUUUUCUUGUAUUGCAGCUCUUGGUUUCUCACUCUUAGCUUUCUUCUUUUCUUCAGCCUUUUAUAGUCCAAGGUGCAAAGGAUAUUACUGUUGAGAGAAUAUGACCGUUGGAGGGCAUUUCUGGAACUUCCAGAACCUGCUGUGGCUGAACCUUGGUAGGUAGGCUUGUCAGAAUAGUACACUGCUCUUGUACUUCUUGAUAGAGACAUUUGCCUUUAACCAAUGACAUCUGAUCAGAGUUAUGCUUCGUGUUGGAACUUGUGAAGCUUGGUGAUCAGAGUCAGAGGGAUGCUUGGAUCCUCUAACCUUCGUAACUUCUGCUUCUGGACCUUCAGAGCUUCUGGACCUUCAGAGCUUCUGGACCUUCAGAGCCUCUGGUCCCUCAGAGCUUCUGGUCUUCAGAUCUUCUGAUCCUCAGAUCUUCUGAUCCUCUGAUCCUCAGAUCCUCUGAUCCUCAGAUCCUCUGAUCCUCAGAUCCUCUGAUCUUCAGAACUUCUGAUCAAUAUAUCUUCUGGUGUCAGAAUCAGAACCUGUUUGUCAAAACACUCAAGACAAACAUUAGAGUAUCAUAGUUGUUCAUCCACAAAUAAAUACUUGUUAUCAUCAAAACAUAGAGUUGUACCACAUGACCAAAUCUUGAUCUUACAAUCUCCCCCUUUUUGAUGAUGACAAAACCAUGUAUUUUGAUGAACAACUCUAAACAAAUAAACUGAAUACACUCAGAGUAUAAGGUAUCAGAGUUAAAACUUAUCCUGAUGUGUAUAGUUUAUCUUGCUCCUUCUGAAUCCAAGCCUAGUGCUUGAUUCUGAGCUAAGCUCCCCCUGAAUCUAAUACUUAAUAUCAACGUUAGUAAUAUCUAGAUUCUGAGCUAAAUAAUAUAGGAGUUGUCAAGAUACUAUAAGUUCUCCCCCUUUUUGUCAUAAGCAAAAAGAAUGAAGGGGAAAAAAAAUAGUAAGAGCAUAAGACGAAAUACUCCCCCUCAGAAGGAAUACCAAGGGAUACUUGGCUGCUGAUUAGUGUAUCUUCUGAUGAGAGCAGAAGUGUCAAAGUCUAGAGGUUCUGGUGACAUCUCCAUUCUGGACAAAAUUUCAUCUUCAGAUACUUCAGAAUGAGAAGCUAGGAACCUACUCUUCUUCUGAUGACGCAAGUCAGAAGUUGUAGUAGCAUCUUCUGAUGUUGUUGCUUCUGGUUCGUCAAGUUCUGAGUCUUUGUUUCUUUCUGAAACGGUCAUGCUUAUCUCUGCAAGCUUUUUCAGCUAGCUUUGACUUGUCAGAGUCAAGCUUAUCAUUAAUUCUAACAUGAAUAGUGUUCAGAAUAUCAACAGAGGGGUUCUUAUCAAAAACCAAUGAUUCCUUGACCAAAUCUUACUCUACUGAUGCCUCCAAGAUCAACUUCACCAUCAGGUUCAAGUUUAGGAUCUUGGGAUAUAUGCCUUUCUCCCGUCAUGUGUUGCCUGCAUCCACUGUCCAGGUUCCAUGGUUGGAGUUUCGAUGGACCUAUUGAAGAUAUCUGCAACAUAUAUAAUCUUAUCCCUAGGUACCCACUUUCUGAGUCCUUUCUUGUUAGUUAGCCCAGAAGUUCUGACAACUUUGGGUCAUUCAACAGGAUAAUAUAAAGGAAUUUGAGCAUGAUAUUUUGACAUUGAGAAAGUUCCUUUCUUAAGAGAUGAUGGAGCAACUUCAGAAGGUUUAGAAUAGAAAAUGCCAUAUAUUCCAUUUCUGCUUACGCCAUAGAUCAUUGAAGCCAUUAAGCUUCUGUCUACGCUUUUAGCCAGGAAUCUUUGAAAAGACUUUUCAUACUUAGAUUCAUUUCUACAAUCAGAGGCAUCACAGGCAACAAUUUCUUCUAACUUAGCAAUCUGGUUCUUAAGCACAGAGUUAGAAUUGAUCAAGGCAUGAUUAUCAUUUUUCAAAUCAGAAAUAAUUUUCUCAUGUUCAGAAGGAGUCUUGGAAACAGC
RNAcentral lists this long non-coding RNA (4016 nucleotides) under Lotus japonicus. RNAcentral describes it as "long non-coding RNA (LJAP_LNC001986)". Lineage: Eukaryota; Viridiplantae; Streptophyta; Magnoliopsida; Fabales; Fabaceae. The record is from RNAcentral.